This 353-nucleotide long non-coding RNA is filed under the name Rattus norvegicus (Norway rat). Its description in RNAcentral is "long non-coding RNA NONRATT000785". The record is from RNAcentral. Lineage: Eukaryota; Metazoa; Chordata; Mammalia; Rodentia; Muridae.
AGGAAGCAGAACUUAGGAGAGCGAGCAGUGCCAGCCAACCCCUCAGAGGAGAGGUCAUCGCUCUGCAGCCUGACCUUUCACCAGAAGGGAAGGGGAGGCUCCUGUGUCUACUGUUUGGAGGAGAAGGACCAGGGCCAGUCAAGUGAUGGCUUUGUCAGCCCUAGCGAGAAGAGAUUCCGUGCUAAGAUAUGGAGCUGGGGCUGGGGAGAGCACAGGGUGGAUGGGGUGAGGAGUGGGUCUGCAGGGCAGUGCUGGGCAAAGCUGGGCAAAGGACUGGGGUCUGGGAAGCAAGUCUUUGAGAGGAGGCAGAGACAGACAAAAGGGAAUCAGCUGUGUCCAUUAAUCAGAAAACA